AUAGCCGUUUAUUCCCGUCUUUUCUACGCGUAAUUCCCCUUUUUUAAGGAUUUGAUGGCAGAACAUGGAUUGAAGUUAAAGGACAUUAUGAUAACGAUAGUAAAAUGUGCUCGAGUUGCAAAGCCAGAAAAGAAAGAAGUUUGAGGUAUAAGGAAUGUACCAAUGCGUAAAUCGCAAGAAACGAAUAAAAACUUUGUAAAUUAAGUUAUUCACUAAUCACUGUACUUACAUCUAAAGCGCCUAUGCUUUAUAAACUGUUACUUGAAGCACAAAAUUGAAUAACUUAGCUUAGUAAAAACCUAGUAAUCAGUCUUGCACCUAAAAUUUGUCCAGAUAUUUAUUUUGAAUAUCUAAUGUUACUGUAGUUGGUUUUUGUCCGUAUAUUCUGAUCACAGUAAACCCUGCAUAUGAAAAACCUAGUUAUCUUUUCAAGCUAGCCUACCAGGUUCAAAUUUAAAUGGUGCAUAUAGAGGGAUUAGGCUUCUAGCUUCUUAUCUGAAUAUACAAAGAUGGAGGAGGAGGCAGUUCUUUUGGAAAACCGUAAUGACGCCAAAAAGGGUAAUGUUCAAAAGCUGUUAAAGUUGUUAUA
Long non-coding RNA from Nematostella vectensis (starlet sea anemone), 589 nucleotides. RefSeq lists it as uncharacterized. NCBI's taxonomy places the organism in Eukaryota, Metazoa, Cnidaria, Anthozoa, Actiniaria, Edwardsiidae. The record is from RefSeq and is a predicted model, not a curated record. The transcript is spliced from 2 exons.